AGUGAACGCUGGCGGUAUGCCUAACACAUGCAAGUCGAACGGCAGCACAGUAAGAUCUUGCUCUUACUGGUGGCGAGUGGCGGACGGUUAAGAAGUCCAUCGCAUCCACUUUUUCCUGGGGUAACAUCGGGGGAAACUUACCCUUACCCCACAAUAUUCCUAACGGCUUAAAUCAGGGGUCUUCGGCGCUUUUGCUGUUUCAUUUAGCUGGUUCCGAGUUGCAUUAGCUAGUUGGUAAGGUAAAGGCCUACCAAGGCGACGAUGCGUAGCUGACCGGAGAGGGUGAUCAGCCACACUGGAACUGAGACACGGUCCAGACUCCUACGGGAGGCAGCAGUGGGGAAUAUUGGACAAUGGGCGAAAGCCUGAUGGAGCCAUACCGCGUGGGUGAAGAAGGCCUUCGGGUUGUAAAGCCCUUUUGUUGGGAAAGAAAAGCAGCAGGUGAAACCCCCGCUGUUCUGACGGUACCCAAAGAAUAAGCACCGGCUAACUUCGUG
RNAcentral lists this ribosomal RNA (497 nucleotides) under uncultured bacterium. RNAcentral's name for it is "partial 16S ribosomal RNA". It matches the Rfam family "Bacterial small subunit ribosomal RNA", at positions 29 to 507 of the family's 1533-position model. The record is from RNAcentral.